AUGAAUUCGAGGAUUUUCUUCCUUUACUCAAGACACUUUAAAAUUAUAAUAUUUGUCAUCGAAAUAGCACUUAAAUGAUUAAUCGUAGCAUAAAGUGCUGCCUAUAUAUUUACAUUACAUAUUUAAAUGCACGAAAAAAGUGUCUGAGUGUCUUCUAAUUAUGAUUUAAAUCAAAUUUGGAUAAGAAGUCAACUUUUCUUUCAGAGAAGCGAAGAAAUUUGUAUUACUCCUGAUGAAUUCGAGAAUUUUCUCCCUUUACUCAAGACACCUUAAAAUUAUGAUAUUUGUCAUCGAAAUGAUAAUAACACUUAAGUGAUUAAUGCUCUCGCAGUAAUAACGUUCGCGUUGAUCCUACACCAUUGAGGGAAUUAUAAUCUCGAACGACGAGGGUCAUAAGUGUAUCGUAUAAUCUGGUAAACAGUAGAAUUACAAGAACAAACAAUAAUGGAACUCGCUUGUAAGCCGUCACUACGCAAAUAUCUGCGUCUCAUGCAGAAUAGUGUGUAUACGUAAUGCAUUAUGCACUUGCAUAACUUUCCAUCGACAACAACGACGAGAACGUACGCGCGCGCGCGCGCGUUUAUCAUGGAAACAGUUUUCGUAAUUAACAUUCGUAAUUCAAUUAUUAUAUUCAAACAACAAAUCGUGAUUAUUCUUAUUAUUAUUAACAGUAAGUUUGACUAAAUAUUUGCGAGCAAACAGCGAUUUCCAAGUAAGAUGAAAAUAUACAUCUAACGUUAGCGUCUGAGAAAUGAAGAAGUACAGUCAAGGAGACCCGGAGAUGCCGAAAAACUAUAAAGAUAACGCGUGCGCGAGAAAGAUCGGAACAACGAAAA
This is a long non-coding RNA of Pogonomyrmex barbatus (red harvester ant), 836 nucleotides long. The record is from RefSeq and is a predicted model, not a curated record. NCBI's taxonomy places the organism in Eukaryota, Metazoa, Arthropoda, Insecta, Hymenoptera, Formicidae.